This 348-nucleotide unclassified non-coding RNA is filed under the name soil metagenome. RNAcentral's name for it is "partial contains 5.8S ribosomal RNA, internal transcribed spacer 2, and large subunit ribosomal RNA". The stretch from base 1 to 120 matches the Rfam family "5.8S ribosomal RNA", at positions 35 to 154 of the family's 154-position model. The record is from RNAcentral.
GAUGAAGAACGCAGCGAAAUGCGAUAAGUAAUGUGAAUUGCAGAAUUCAGUGAAUCAUCGAGUCUUUGAACGCUCAUUGCGACCCCUGGUAUUCCGGGGGGCAUGCCUGUCCGAGCGUCAUUGCUGCCCUCAAGCACGGCUUGUGUGUUGGGCCGCCGUCCCCGGUUUCCCCCGGGGACGGGCCCGAAAGGCAGCGGCGGCACCGCGUCCGAUCCUCGAGCGUAUGGGGCUUUGUCACCCGCGCUGUAGGCCCGGCCGGCGCCAGCCGACACCCAACUUUAUUUCUAAGGUUGACCUCGGAUCAGGUAGGGAUACCCGCUGAACUUAAGCAUAUCAAUAAGCGGAGGA